Molecule: long non-coding RNA, 2494 nt
Organism: Mesocricetus auratus (golden hamster)
Lineage: Eukaryota; Metazoa; Chordata; Mammalia; Rodentia; Cricetidae
Exons: 4
Source: RefSeq, a predicted model, not a curated record
ACUGCAAAAGAGAGUGACAAAUUUAAGCGUUUACAGCGAAUUUCCCCCAUCGGCUUGCAGUAAAAACCAGGUAUCUGAAGCAUGGUCUCUUGGCAGAUUUCUUCCUAAAAGAUACAGAUGCUCGCCAGUGAUAUAACUCAAAGGGAAAACGUAAGGUAAGAAUGCUUCUCCCAGACUAGAACAAAUAAAUAUGUCUUUUGACAUAAUUUCUGGAAUGUUUUUACUACAUCAGUUUAUAUUAUUUUUCUACCGAUUUGUUCAUGGCAGGAAGAGAGACUGCACCAGAAACCAGCCCUGCUAAUAACUUGACAUAGGAUCCUAGCUUCCAAAUAUUGUGAGAAUAAAUGUACAUUACUAAAGCCAUCCAGUUGAUGUUAUUUGUUAUGGUGGACCUAGUAGCUAACAUAGGUACAUACAUACGCGUGUAUGUGUUUGUGUAUGGAGUGUUUUAGAGUUAAAAAUGCUCUCCUAUGAAUAUGCAUGCUCAUAAAAAUCUUCCAAAGACAUACUGUAUACAACAAACAGAGGAGAACACAAGGAGACAAAUACUUCGUCUGAAACGGAUGGAGGGAAACUAUUGGGAAGAAAAGGCAGGGUAUGACCUCCGGGAGUUGGUCAUACUCCGGGGACUGUCCCCACACCAAAGAGUACGUGCCAGCACUAACUGAACUCCGUUGCUUUGCUGUGUUUCAGGGGACAUCGAGUUGGGCGGGGGUAGAUCUGGCAGGAGCUGGGGGAGGUGAAUAUGAUUAAAAAAAAACAAUGCUAUGAAAUUCUCAAAGUUAAUAAAGCGUUAUGUAAAAAUAAUUGGAAAUAUAACUUUUUUUUUCAAAUCUUAAACUUCCCCCAAAACAGAGGAUGGAAAUACAGGCAAACCCAAGCAGCACACAUUACGUUUUACAGCAAUAGGAACUGGAGACAAAGAGAAGUGACGAAGGAGCGAGACCAGGAUUUCAAGGUGAACUUGAUCCCAUGGUUUGCCCGAGCGCGUCGCAGAGGGUCCAGGAGCUCCGGACCUCGUCUGCGGAGGUGGCAAAAAUUAAACUGCGGGCAGCCGUGUGACUUUUCUCAUCGUGGAGCAAGUCGGCUCCGGCGUUGUUUCUGUCUGCCACACGGCUUCCCCACCUCACUCUCGGGGUGUUUGGCUAAAACAACAACGAACCCUAUGUGAAGCGUGGCCCCCCUUAACGACGGCGAGGACCUAGAGACAGUGACCGUCCCAUUUCACAGAGCGCACACAAGGGCUGAGCGGUCUGUUAAGGUCUGGCGGUUGAGACACUGCGCCACUGUGAUUGGUCUACUGGAAAGCUAAGUGGCCAAUCGCAAGGCAGGACGUGUAGGCGGGACUUCUGGUCAGAGAGCGCUCUGGGAAGAAGGAAGGAGGAGGUGCCAGUCAGCCAGCGAGGAAGCAGGAUGCAGAGCACAGGUAACCGAGCCACGUAAAAGAGCGUACGUUAAAGAGUAUGCGUUAAUUUCAGCCAGAAGAGCACGUUUAAAGAGUAUGCGUUACUUCCAGCCAGAGGAGCUAGCGGGACAAGCCUGAGCUGUAGGGCAAGCUUUCUUAAUUGAUAGUACGUCUCCAUCUUCUGCGAGCUGGUGGCCCGGAGAACAAUCCGCUUGGGAUUUGAACCCACCCAGUCCCUAGAAAGCUUCCCCGUGACUGUUCUCCGCGGAAGCAGAAGCAGGGGACCUGACUCUGCAGCGCAUGACCAGGGUUCAGCCUGCCAGUCGGGCCAGAAGAGGGGGGCCGCAGGGUGGAAUACGCCCACCAGUAGAGACGUGAUCCCCACACGCCUGCUUUCGUCCAAGUCCUGCAAGCACCCUUCUCGGUCAUGGAACUUCUGUGCGCGCACACAGACCCUCGUCAGAUUUGUCUGAGACUGAAGGUAUGGCAGAACGUGAGAGGAUGAGGGUGGGGGGAGCAGGCGAAGGUGAGGAAGAGGCGGAGAGAUAUAGAGGGAAAACCUGGAGCCAAGCUUCCUUUUGAAGCCUGAGGACAGACAAGACUCAUUUAACUCACAUGGCCCAGCAGAACACCGAUUCCGUUGACUCCUCCCCGAAACCGCCAGCCUCCAGCCUCCCAAAGGUGUGGCCACUCCCUAACAAGGGGAGUCCCUCACCCCUUACCUCUGGAACCAGAACCCCUGAGGCAUCACAAUUCUGGCAGACCCCACAUCCGCAACACCGAAGUCUGCUUCAGCUCCUGCAUUCCGAAGACCACUUGAAGCCAUUUAAAGAGUAUCCCAAAUGUGUAAGAAGUGCCUGCAACUCACCGUGAGAUUGUUUCUGUGUAGGAACAAAACAAGCCUAGAGGAUUUUCAGAAGUGUGGCAAAUGCAGGUAACAGGGAUCUACUUUGACUCUUUGUCAUUUGGAAGAAAACUUCAAGUUUUUAAAAAGGGUGGGGGAGCCGGGUGUUGGUGGCGCACGCCUUUAAUCCCAGCACUCGGGAGGCAGAGGCAGGCGGAUCUCUGUGAGUUCGAGGCCAGCCUGGU